Long non-coding RNA from Daucus carota subsp. sativus, 595 nucleotides. RefSeq lists it as uncharacterized. The record is from RefSeq and is a predicted model, not a curated record. The transcript has 2 exons. Lineage: Eukaryota; Viridiplantae; Streptophyta; Magnoliopsida; Apiales; Apiaceae.
UGGAAAAUCGAGAGAUUUGGUCAAGAAUUCUCGAGGGGGCUCACUUUCUUGAAAAGUUGAAGUAUUUGAAGUGGGUUGCUCAAGAUGAAUGUAUAUAGGAGAGCUAAGUGAUUGAGGGUUGGUUUGUGAUGAUGAUGUUGAGAACUCAAGCACCUACUGGAAAACAAGCACCAUGAAGGCUUCCAUAAGAGUCUCACUAUUGUCGAGGGACGAUAGAGGUUAUACUGAACUUGUUGCAAGAUGAAAAAUAAGGAUUGCUCAACAAUGGGUCUCUGUCCCGCAAUUUUCUUUCCAUGAAGAAACCAGGUUUCUUCGGAUAAGCCAGUUUCGAAUCACUGCUCAACAUAAGAACUACUGCAGACAUAUCUGGCCUGUCGACAGGAUCUUCUUGAACACACAAUAGUCCAAUAUGGAUAACUCGGAAAACUUUUAUCAGGUUACAUGACUCCAACAUCACCUCAUCGAUUACUUCUAAUAGCUUGUCGUCAUUAUAACUAUUCCAAGCCUGAAUGUUAAAAUUCAUGAUUUUGUUAGUAACUUUAGCAUUUUUGUGAUGUAUAUAAAACAAAUUGUACAUUUCAUGCAUGUUUACUUA